UCCUACGGGAGGCAGCAGUGGGGAAUCUUAGACAAUGGGCGCAAGCCUGAUCUAGCCAUGCCGCGUGUGUGAUGAAGGUCUUAGGAUCGUAAAGCACUUUCGCCAGGGAUGAUAAUGACAGUACCUGGUAAAGAAACCCCGGCUAACUCCGUGCCAGCAGCCGCGGUAAUACGGAGGGGGUUAGCGUUGUUCGGAAUUACUGGGCGUAAAGCGUACGUAGGCGGAUUGGAAAGUUGGGGGUGAAAUCCCAGGGCUCAACCCUGGAACUGCCUCCAAAACUAUCAGUCUAGAGUUCGAGAGAGGUGAGUGGAAUUCCAAGUGUAGAGGUGAAAUUCGUAGAUAUUUGGAGGAACACCAGUGGCGAAGGCGGCUCACUGGCUCGAUACUGACGCUGAGGUACGAAAGUGUGGGGAGCAAACAGGAUUAGAUACCCUGGUAGUCCACACCGUAAACGAUGAAUGCCAGUCGUCGGGCAGUAUACUGUUCGGUGACACACCUAACGGAUUAAGCAUUCCGCCUGGGGAGUACGGUCGCAAGAUUAAAACUCAAAUGAAUUGACGGU
This 562-nucleotide ribosomal RNA is filed under the name uncultured bacterium. Its description in RNAcentral is "bacterial SSU rRNA". It matches the Rfam family "Bacterial small subunit ribosomal RNA", at positions 337 to 917 of the family's 1533-position model. The record is from RNAcentral.